Molecule: non-coding RNA, 732 nt
Organism: Podarcis lilfordi (Lilford's wall lizard)
Lineage: Eukaryota; Metazoa; Chordata; Lepidosauria; Squamata; Lacertidae
Source: the annotation of a GenBank genome assembly
GACAUUUAAAGCCUUAAACGGCCUUGGUCCUGUAUACCUGAAGGAGCAUCUCCACCCCCAUCGUUCAGCCCAGACACUGAGAUCCAGCGCCAAGGGCCUUCUGGUGGUUCCCUCAUUGCGAGAAGUGAGGUUACAGGGAACCAGAUAGGGGGCCUUCUCUGUAGUGGCGCCCACCCUGUGAAACACCCUCCCUUCAGAUGUGAAGGAAAUAAGCAGCUAUCCUAUGUUUAAAAGACAUCUGAAGGCAGCCCUGUUUAGGGAAGUUUUUAAUAUUUAAUGCUGUACUGUUUUUAACACUUGAUUGGAAGCUGCCCAGAGUGGCUGGGGAAACUCAGCCAGAUGGGCGGGGUAUAAAUAAUAAAUUAUUAUUAUUAUUAUAUAAUGAUCUUCCUCUGCUUCACUUCAGAUAAUUCAGUGGGGCCUCUUCUCAGUUCAUUCUCUUCUGGAUCAGUGCCUUAAUCCUUUGUAGAUUCUGUAUAUCACAGAAUAACCAUUGAGAUGUCCCCAGAUGUUGUUGUCCAGUUCCCAUCAGCUUCAGCCAGCAGGGCAGACAGUCAAGGAUGAUAGAAACUCUAAUCUGGACCUCACCACCUGGACUCUGCUGCCCUAUAUCCUUCCCAUUGAAACAACCGUGAAAAUAAAUUUUGGACGCUAUAGAUUUAUCCUGGUCUGGAGCAUGCAAUGUCUUUUGUUUUGCAGCUGUGUGAUUUGUGCUCAUAUUGUAUUGUGGUG